AACACGUGUGUAGCCCCGGACGUAAGGGCCGUGCUGAUUUGACGUCAUCCCCACCUUCCUCACAUCUUACGACGGCAGUCUCUCUAGAGUCCUCAGCAUCACCUGUUAGUAACUAAAGAUAAGGGUUGCGCUCGUUAUGGCACUUAAGCCGACACCUCACGGCACGAGCUGACGACAACCAUGCAGCACCUUCACAACAGCCUUACGGCUAUACUGUUUCCAAUAUAUUCUGUUGCAAUUUAAGCCCGGGUAAGGUUCCUCGCGUAUCAUCGAAUUAAACCACAUGUUCCUCCGCUUGUGCGGGCCCCCGUCAAUUCCUUUGAGUUUCACCGUUGCCGGCGUACUCCCCAGGUGGAAUACUUAAUGCUUUCGCUUGGCCGCUUACUGUAUAUCGCAAACAGCGAGUAUUCAUCGUUUACUGUGUGGACUACCAGGGUAUCUAAUCCUGUUUGAUACCCACACUUUCGAGCAUCAGUGUCAGUAACAGUCUAGUGAGCUGCCUUCGCAAUCGGAGUUCUUCGUGAUAUCUAAGCAUUUCACCGCUACACCACGAAUUCCGCCCACCUCUACUGUACUCAAGACUGCCAGUUUCAACUGCAAUUUUACGGUUGAGCCGCAAACUUUCACAACUGACUUAACAAUCCACCUACGCUCCCUUUAAACCCAAUAAAUCCGGAUAACGCUCGGAUCCUCCGUAUUACCGCGGCUGCUGGCACGGAGUUAGCCGAUCCUUAUUCAUAUGGUACAUACAAAAUUCCACACGUGGAAAACUUUAUUCCCAUAUAAAAGAAGUUUACGACCCAUAGAGCCUUCAUCCUUCACGCUACUUGGCUGGUUCAGGCUCUCGCCCAUUGACCAAUAUUCCUCACUGCUGCCUCCCGUAGGAGUUUGGACCGUGUCUCAGUUCCAAUGUGGGGGACCUUCCUCUCAGAACCCCUAUCCAUCGUAGUCUUGGUGGGCCGUUACCCCGCCAACAAACUAAUGGAACGCAUCCCCA
RNAcentral lists this ribosomal RNA (997 nucleotides) under Bacteroides ovatus. RNAcentral's name for it is "partial 16S ribosomal RNA". The record is from RNAcentral. Lineage: Bacteria; Pseudomonadati; Bacteroidota; Bacteroidia; Bacteroidales; Bacteroidaceae.